RNAcentral lists this ribosomal RNA (1433 nucleotides) under Parabacteroides distasonis str. 3999B T(B) 6. Its description in RNAcentral is "bacterial SSU rRNA". It matches the Rfam family "Bacterial small subunit ribosomal RNA". Lineage: Bacteria; Pseudomonadati; Bacteroidota; Bacteroidia; Bacteroidales; Tannerellaceae. The record is from RNAcentral.
AGAGUUUGAUCCUGGCUCAGGAUGAACGCUAGCGACAGGCUUAACACAUGCAAGUCGAGGGGCAGCACAGGUAGCAAUACCGGGUGGCGACCGGCGCACGGGUGAGUAACGCGUAUGCAACUUGCCUAUCAGAGGGGGAUAACCCGGCGAAAGUCGGACUAAUACCGCAUGAAGCAGGGGCCCCGCAUGGGGAUAUUUGCUAAAGAUUCAUCGCUGAUAGAUAGGCAUGCGUUCCAUUAGGCAGUUGGCGGGGUAACGGCCCACCAAACCGACGAUGGAUAGGGGUUCUGAGAGGAAGGUCCCCCACAUUGGUACUGAGACACGGACCAAACUCCUACGGGAGGCAGCAGUGAGGAAUAUUGGUCAAUGGGCGUAAGCCUGAACCAGCCAAGUCGCGUGAGGGAUGAAGGUUCUAUGGAUCGUAAACCUCUUUUAUAAGGGAAUAAAGUGCGGGACGUGUCCCGUUUUGUAUGUACCUUAUGAAUAAGGAUCGGCUAACUCCGUGCCAGCAGCCGCGGUAAUACGGAGGAUCCGAGCGUUAUCCGGAUUUAUUGGGUUUAAAGGGUGCGUAGGCGGCCUUUUAAGUCAGCGGUGAAAGUCUGUGGCUCAACCAUAGAAUUGCCGUUGAAACUGGGGGGCUUGAGUAUGUUUGAGGCAGGCGGAAUGCGUGGUGUAGCGGUGAAAUGCAUAGAUAUCACGCAGAACCCCGAUUGCGAAGGCAGCCUGCCAAGCCAUUACUGACGCUGAUGCACGAAAGCGUGGGGAUCAAACAGGAUUAGAUACCCUGGUAGUCCACGCAGUAAACGAUGAUCACUAGCUGUUUGCGAUACACUGUAAGCGGCACAGCGAAAGCGUUAAGUGAUCCACCUGGGGAGUACGCCGGCAACGGUGAAACUCAAAGGAAUUGACGGGGGCCCGCACAAGCGGAGGAACAUGUGGUUUAAUUCGAUGAUACGCGAGGAACCUUACCCGGGUUUGAACGCAUUUUGACAGCUCUGGAAACAGAGCCUCUAGCAAUAGCGAUUUGCGAGGUGCUGCAUGGUUGUCGUCAGCUCGUGCCGUGAGGUGUCGGCUUAAGUGCCAUAACGAGCGCAACCCUUGCCACUAGUUACUAACAGGUAAAGCUGAGGACUCUGGUGGGACUGCCAGCGUAAGCUGCGAGGAAGGCGGGGAUGACGUCAAAUCAGCACGGCCCUUACAUCCGGGGCGACACACGUGUUACAAUGGCGUGGACAAAGGGAAGCCACCUGGCGACAGGGAGCGAAUCCCCAAACCACGUCUCAGUUCGGAUCGGAGUCUGCAACCCGACUCCGUGAAGCUGGAUUCGCUAGUAAUCGCGCAUCAGCCAUGGCGCGGUGAAUACGUUCCCGGGCCUUGUACACACCGCCCGUCAAGCCAUGGGAGCCGGGGGUACCUGAAGUCCGUAACCGCGA